UUGUGUAUUAUAUUAAUUUUUAAUAAAUUAAUUUUUUAAUUACAGUAAUUAAAUUUAAAUAUUAAAGAAAUUUAGAUUUAGUAAUAAUUAAUAAUAUUAACAAAAUUUGUGCCAGCAGUUGCGGUUAAACAAAUAAUAUUAUUAAAAUUUAAUAGUUAAACUUUAUUUAAUGAUUAAAUUAAAUAUUAUAAUUAGUUAGGUAAAAUUAUUUAUUAUUAAAUUUAGUUAAUAAGUUAUUUAUAUAUGUUAAAAAUUUACUUUAAAAACUAGGAUUAGAUACCCUAUUAUUAUAAAUGUAAUUAUAAUACUUAAUUAUUAAAAGUUAUGAUCUUUAAAAUUAAAAAAUUUGGCGGUAUUUUAGUCUUUUCAGAGGAACCUGUUUCAUAAUUGAUAGUCCACAUUUAGAAUUAUUUUUUCUUUAAUUUAUAUAUCAUUGUAAUUAAAAUAUUUUUAUAGAUUAAUGUUUAAAAUUUAUAAUUAUAAAUAAUAUCAGAUCAAGAUGUAGUUUAUGAAAAAAAGAAAAUGGGUUACAAUAAAUUUAUUUAAGAAUAAUUUUAUUAAGUGAAAUUUGAAUUUGGAUUUGAAAGUAAUAUUAAUUAUAUUAUUAAUGUGAUUUUAGUUUUAAAAUAUGUACAUAUUGCCCGUCACUUUCAUUUUAAAAUGAAAUAAGUCGUAACAAAGUAGAUUUAUUGGAAGAUGAAUCUAGAAAAUC
This 712-nucleotide non-coding RNA is filed under the name Donacia flemola. The record is from RNAcentral. Lineage: Eukaryota; Metazoa; Arthropoda; Insecta; Coleoptera; Chrysomelidae.